AGAGUUUGAUCCUGGCUCAGGAUAAACGCUGGCGGCACGCCUAAUACAUGCAAGUCGAACGAGAGUGCUUGCACUCUAGUGGCGAACGGGUGAGGAACACGUAAGGAACUUGCCCCAAAGACGAGGAUAACCACGGGAAACUGUGGCUAAUACUGGAUAGGAUAUAGAUUCCCAUGAACCUAUAUUUAAAGGUGCGUUUGCUCCACUUCUGGGAGAGCCUUGCUCAGCAUUAGCUAGUUGGUAGGGUAACGGCCUACCAAGGCGACGAUGCUUACCUGGACUGAAAGGUUGAACAGCCACACUGGGACUGAGACACGACCCAUACUCCUAUGGGAGGCAGCAUCUAGGGAAUUUUCGGCAAUGGGCGAAAGCCUGACCGAGCAAUGCCGCGUGAACCAUGAGCGCCUUCGGGUCGUACAGUUCUGUUGUAAAGGAAGAAUCGAUCAUAGGAGGAAAUGCCUUUGAUUUGACGGUACUUUACACUAAAGCUCCUGCUAACUACGUGCCGUCACCCUCGGUAAUACGUAUGGAGCGAGCGUUAUCCGGAAUUAUUGGGCGUUAAGCGUGCAUAGGCUGCGUGUUAAGUCGAAUGUGAAAGCCCACAGCUUAACUGUGGAGGGUCAUUCGAAACUGGCAUGCUAUAGUACAGGCAAUGUUA
Molecule: ribosomal RNA, 658 nt
Filed under: uncultured bacterium
Lineage: Bacteria
Description: bacterial SSU rRNA
Rfam family: Bacterial small subunit ribosomal RNA
Source: RNAcentral